UACGGAGGGGGCUAGCGUUGUUCGGAAUCACUGGGCGUAAAGGGCGUGUAGGCGGCGGAUUUAGUUAGGCGUGAAAGCCCCGGGCUCAACCUGGGAACUGCGCUUAAUACUGGUCUGCUAGAGUCCGGGAGAGGCGAGUGGAAUAUCCAGUGUAGAGGUGAAAUUCGUAGAUAUUGGAUGGAACACCGAUGGCGAAGGCAGCUCGCUGGACCGGAACUGACGCUGAGGCGCGAAAGCGUGGGGAGCAAACAGG
RNAcentral lists this unclassified non-coding RNA (253 nucleotides) under uncultured Alphaproteobacteria bacterium. RNAcentral's name for it is "contains 16S-23S intergenic spacer region". It matches the Rfam family "Bacterial small subunit ribosomal RNA", at positions 524 to 776 of the family's 1533-position model. The record is from RNAcentral. Lineage: Bacteria; Pseudomonadati; Pseudomonadota; Alphaproteobacteria.